CAUUAUCUUUUAGAUCCCCCUUGGCCUUAUUAGCAUUGUUUGAUUCAUGGUCACAAAUUGCAAACCUACCCUCUGCCUGGAAAGCCACCUUCCCACCUGUAGGGUAAGGGUGAGGCAUGUGUGGCCCAGACUGGCCUAUUUCUAGAUAUUCAACAAGCCCUUGCCUGACUGACAGCAGCUUGCCACCAUUGCUUUCCUGUGUGAAUCCCAGGAAAAAGUGAUGUGGUCUGGGCAAGUUGGGUGGACGUAAGGGAUAGGGGACACAGGGUGAGGUUUGCUAGGUCAGAGGGGUUGGAUUGGAGAGGAGGGCCCCCUUUCCAUUGCAGAGUAGGUGAAGGGCAGAGAGGGGAUGGGGAUUGAGUGAGGAGCAUUGUGGUCCUUGUUGCUCAAGUGACUCUCUCCUGCCAUCCUAGGCAUUUUCUAUGGUUACAAGGGGCUGCUGCUGCUGCUGGGAAUCUUCCUUGCUUAUGAGACCAAGAGUGUGUCCACUGAGAAGAUCAAUGAUCACCGGGCUGUGGGCAUGGCUAUCUACAAUGUGGCAGUCCUGUGCCUCAUCACUGCUCCUGUCACCAUGAUUCU
Molecule: small RNA, 579 nt
Filed under: Pan troglodytes (chimpanzee)
Lineage: Eukaryota; Metazoa; Chordata; Mammalia; Primates; Hominidae
Description: retained intron
Source: RNAcentral